RNAcentral lists this ribosomal RNA (620 nucleotides) under uncultured bacterium. Its description in RNAcentral is "bacterial SSU rRNA". It matches the Rfam family "Bacterial small subunit ribosomal RNA", at positions 43 to 656 of the family's 1533-position model. The record is from RNAcentral.
CAGGCCUAACACAUGCAAGUCGAGGGGCAGCAUUUCCAGCUUGCUGGAAGAUGGCGACCGGCGCACGGGUGAGUAACGCGUAUGCAACCUGCCUUAUACCGGGGGAUAGCCCAGAGAAAUCUGGAUUAAUACCGCAUAAUAAUUAAGAACUGCAUGGUUUUUAAUUUAAAACUCCGGUGGUAUAAGAUGGGCAUGCGUAACAUUAGCUUGUUGGUAAGGUAACGGCUUACCAAGGCAACGAUGUUUAGGGGGUCUGAGAGGAUAGUCCCCCACACUGGUACUGAGACACGGACCAGACUCCUACGGGAGGCAGCAGUGAGGAAUAUUGGUCAAUGGACGCAAGUCUGAACCAGCCAUGUCGCGUGCAGGAUGACGGCCCUAUGGGUUGUAAACUGCUUUUUUACAGGAAUAAUGUUAUCUACGUGUAGAUAUUUGAAGGUACUGUAGGAAUAAGGAUCGGCUAACUCCGUGCCAGCAGCCGCGGUAAUACGGAGGAUUCGAGCGUUAUCCGGAUUUAUUGGGUUUAAAGGGUCCGUAGGCGGGCUUGUAAGUCAGUGGUGAAAUCUCACAGCUCAACUGUGAAACUGCCAUUGAUACUGCAGGUCUUGAAUUUAGUUGAG